RNAcentral lists this ribosomal RNA (558 nucleotides) under uncultured Bacillus sp. Its description in RNAcentral is "bacterial SSU rRNA". It matches the Rfam family "Bacterial small subunit ribosomal RNA", at positions 56 to 598 of the family's 1533-position model. Lineage: Bacteria; Bacillati; Bacillota; Bacilli; Caryophanales; Bacillaceae. The record is from RNAcentral.
UGCAGUCGAGCGGACAGAAGGGAGCUUGCUCCCGGAUGUUAGCGGCGGACGGGUGAGUAACACGUGGGUAACCUGCCUGUAAGACUGGGAUAACUCCGGGAAACCGGAGCUAAUACCGGAUAGUUCCUUGAACCGCAUGGUUCAAGGAUGAAAGACGGUUUCGGCUGUCACUUACAGAUGGACCCGCGGCGCAUUAGCUAGUUGGUGAGGUAACGGCUCACCAAGGCGACGAUGCGUAGCCGACCUGAGAGGGUGAUCGGCCACACUGGGACUGAGACACGGCCCAGACUCCUACGGGAGGCAGCAGUAGGGAAUCUUCCGCAAUGGACGAAAGUCUGACGGAGCAACGCCGCGUGAGUGAUGAAGGUUUUCGGAUCGUAAAGCUCUGUUGUUAGGGAAAAACAAGUGCAAGAGUAACUGCUUGCACCUUGACGGUACCUAACCAGAAAGCCACGGCUAACUACGUGCCAGCAGCCGCGGUAAUACGUAGGUGGCAAGCGUUGUCCGGAAUUAUUGGGCGUAAAGGGCUCGCAGGCGGUUUCUUAAGUCUGAUGUGAA